RNAcentral lists this ribosomal RNA (34 nucleotides) under Myriophyllum spicatum. RNAcentral's name for it is "partial 26S ribosomal RNA". The record is from RNAcentral. Lineage: Eukaryota; Viridiplantae; Streptophyta; Magnoliopsida; Saxifragales; Haloragaceae.
CCCCAGGUCAGGUGGGACUACCCGCUGAGUUUAA